Unclassified non-coding RNA from Macaca fascicularis (crab-eating macaque), 148 nucleotides. It matches the Rfam family "Metazoan signal recognition particle RNA". Rfam says of the family: The signal recognition particle (SRP) is a universally conserved ribonucleoprotein. It is involved in the co-translational targeting of proteins to membranes. The record is from Ensembl. NCBI's taxonomy places the organism in Eukaryota, Metazoa, Chordata, Mammalia, Primates, Cercopithecidae.
GCUGGGUGUGGUGGCGCACACCUGUAAUCCCAGCUACUCGGGAGGCUGAGGCAGGAGAAUCACUUGAACCCAGGAGGCGGAGGUUGCAGUGAGCUGAGGAUGCACCAUUGCACUCCGGCCUGGGUGACAUGGUGAGAUUAUGUCCCCC